UACGUAGGGUGCGAGCGUUAAUCGGAAUUACUGGGCGUAAAGCGUGCGCAGGCGGUUCGUUGUGUCGGCGGUGAAAGCCCCGGGCUCAACCUGGGAAUGGCCGUUGAAACUGGCGAACUGGAGUGUGGCAGAGGGGGGUGGAAUUCCGCGUGUAGCAGUGAAAUGCGUAGAGAUGUGGAGGAACACCGAUGGCGAAGGCAGCCUCCUGGGCCAGCACUGACGCUCAUGCACGAAAGCGUGGGGAGCAAACAGG
Molecule: ribosomal RNA, 253 nt
Filed under: uncultured bacterium
Lineage: Bacteria
Description: partial 16S ribosomal RNA
Rfam family: Bacterial small subunit ribosomal RNA
Source: RNAcentral